CCCUUAGAUGUUCUGGGCUGCACGCGCGCUACACUGAAGCUAUCAACACGUUUUCCCUCCCUGAGAAGGGCGGGUAACCUUUUGAAUCAGCUUCGUGGUAGGGAUCGGGGCUUGCAAUUGUUCCCCGUGAACCAGGAAUUCCUAGUAGACGCGAGUCAUAAGCUCGCAUCGAUUAAGUCCCUGCCCUUUGUACACACCGCCCGUCGCUACUACCGAUUGAACGUUUUAGUGAGGCAUUUGGACCGACGCAUCUCAGUUUAACCGCUGGUUUGUGUUGGAAAGACUUCCAAACUUGAGCGUUUAGAGGACGUAAAAGUCGUAACA
RNAcentral lists this ribosomal RNA (324 nucleotides) under uncultured eukaryote. RNAcentral describes it as "partial 18S ribosomal RNA". It matches the Rfam family "Eukaryotic small subunit ribosomal RNA", at positions 1470 to 1796 of the family's 1831-position model. The record is from RNAcentral.